UCCGGUUUGUCACCGGCAGUCUCCUUAGAGUGCCCAACUAAAUGCUGGCAACUAAGGACAAGGGUUGCGCUCGUUGCGGGACUUAACCCAACAUCUCACGACACGAGCUGACGACAACCAUGCACCACCUGUCACUCUGUCCCCGAAGGGAAAGUCCUGUCUCCAGGAUUGUCAGAGGAUGUCAAGACCUGGUAAGGUUCUUCGCGUUGCUUCGAAUUAAACCACAUGCUCCACCGCUUGUGCGGGCCCCCGUCAAUUCCUUUGAGUUUCAACCUUGCGGUCGUACUCCCCAGGCGGAGUGCUUAAUGCGUUAACUUCAGCACCAAGGGGCGGAAACCCCCUGACACUUAGCACUCAUCGUUUACGGCGUGGACUAC
This 377-nucleotide unclassified non-coding RNA is filed under the name Bacillus sp. (in: firmicutes). RNAcentral describes it as "Bacillus sp. (in: Bacteria) contains 16S-23S intergenic spacer region". Lineage: Bacteria; Bacillati; Bacillota; Bacilli; Caryophanales; Bacillaceae. The record is from RNAcentral.